GCUGGAAGAUGUUGAUCAUUUAUUACAAAAAUAAACGAAUAAAUACAACAAUAUAUUGUUGCUUUACGACAGGAUAAAUAUUUUACAAAUAUAUAAUUUAAAAAAGCAGAUUUAAUUGUUAAAAUUAUUUAAAAUAUUACAACUUACGGAUAAAAUUAUCAAUAGUAUAUACUGCAUUUCAUAGUAGAACCGAUUAUUCUCUAAGCGUUCCAUUGAAAACCAGUCAUACAAAACAAGUUUUGAGCAUCGUCAUGUGCAAACACGAGCCACUACAUUAAAGCAUAAGGAUUCUGGAAAGAUCACUUUCCUAGAGGAACCGCUGCGUUUUUAAACCAAAGUAGAGCUCCCUGCUAAAUUCCAAGAGAUACGCAGACCAACGGCAGUGAGAUGGCUGUUUUCAAUACACCUGAAAAUGAUUUCUUGUGUACAGGCUCGACGGGGGAAGGAUGGGAUGGGAGGGAGUGAGGAGACUGGGGACCACAGGAUAUGAAAAUGUAAACUAUAAAUAAGCACAUCUCGGGAUUACCCAGACUGAUCAAACAGAACUUUGUAAAACAUUUGGCUUUCCUUUAGGCAGAACAGCAGAAAGAAAAAAAAAAGGGGGUGAGAAAAAAAAGGGAGUAAGGAAAAUGAUGCCGACUCAAUUACCAAGCACAGAACACUGAUAUUAGAAAUGAACACAAUUACUAAAUUCAUUAAGAGAUCUGGCGAUAUAUAACAAUAUUUUCAUUAUUUACACGUGUAACCAUAUAACCCUUAGCGCAAACCCUCUCAGUGAUUAUCUACCUCUCGUUAUCUCACAGCUUCACAACCCUGAAAUUCCUAAAUACAUUCAAAGGGUUCCGUUUCUCGGGGAGUGGGGAGGGGGGGUAGAGCCUCUGGCCUCACUUUUUAUGCGUGACAGGUCCACGGAACGGGCACGUUUCGCCGGUCCCACCGACCGAAGGUUGCCUUGUAAUAGAAACCAGUGUGAAGUCUCACGUUGGCUCUUUGUUGUCAACCGAAUCGAGGAACCAAAUACCGCUCCGAAAUUUAAACAGCCCUUCUCCCCGCCUAAUAAACCGCUCCUCUUCACGCGUGGAAAAGAGGAUCCCACCUCCCGCCUUAACGGGGCCCGGCGCUCCCCCCCCCCCCCCCCCCAGCAGCGACAUGAGCCGGCAGCUUUUGCUAAAACGAACAAAAGAAAGACCGUCCUUUACCCUUUCGGGGUUUCUUUCCCUUUGUUGGGUUGGGGUUUUUUUCCCCCUUCCCCCCUCCCCUUUUUUCCCUCCGUGUCAGUGGGGCCUUUCGGAUUUCACAAAUCAAACCGACGGUGAUAUUUUACUACGAGCUGGUGGUAAAAUAACGCAUCCCGGCGCCAGGCUCUCAGGUUGCCUUUGAUUUAUGGACUGACACAAGGCCUAAUCUGAAAGGAAGAAAUGUUUGUUGUUCCUACAGCAGUUUUCGGGGGGUUUAACCCCCUGCCUCAAUAGCACGUAGAGUAAAUGGGGAGGACGAAGGGAAGGAGAGGAAGGUGAAGAAGGAGCCACGGGCGAGAUGGACCAUAAAUGAAAAUCUUAUUCUCCGGUAGAUUAUCGGUGGGGGCGGGUGGAGGCGGGAGGUGCAGCUCUGUAGUUCCCACAACCUCCCCGCUUGAAAAUGAAGAGAGCGGAGACGGUGGUUCACUUGUCCCUAUAUCGCAAUAAAUUAUAGCAGAUAAAUCUGACAGGCAGGUUUAGCGCAUCCACCGGCAUCUCCAACGUUACCAGCACACGCGUGUGUUUGCAAAGGAGGUAUGGCAGCGCUGAGGCAGGGUGGGGGAGAAAACUACACUACAACACUUCACACCCCAUAGAAAAACCCUAAACCAACAACAGCAACAACAACAGCAACAGCAACAACAGAAACGGUGAACCAGGCGGACCGCACGUAGGACGGGAUAAAGUAUUAUUCUAGUGGAAGAAAAAAAAAAGUAGCUUCUUAAAUUAUAAAUACAAAUAUUUAUACAGACAUAAAAUGCGUCAAAAUAAAUUAUGGCCUACCCCCCCACCUCCCCUCGCCCUUCGCCUCAGUUUGAAAAGAGGGCAACCAAGAACGAACUUUUGGAGCCAGCCCUGCUCCGGGCACCGGCCCUUCCCGGGCCCUGCCGGGCCAGCCUAACCCGCCCCGCACGGCCCUCUCUGCGGCAAGGGGGGCUUUCAGCAUCCCUAAUGUCGCCUUCCUUCCCCACGGCGGGGGGGCCCUGCGCUGAUGGAGGAGACCACGGAGAUGUGCCGGCCGGGCAAGGAGGGGAUGAAGGGGGAUAGCCCCUGGGGUACCGGAGGGAAGGCGACACUGCCCGGGCGAGCGGCUCAGACCCCCCCAUUUUCCUCUCACUUCAUCAUUUGCAAUAUUACCCUUCAGAGAACUUUGUGUUUUUUUCGACACAGUGUUUAUGCAUCAGACACAGACUAUUUCAUUCUAACAAAUUUAUUUUCUCAAUCAGCUCUUACGGAAUCACUACUCAAAUUAAAUUACAAUCAAAUUAUCACAUCAAAAGAUACCCUUAUUACCUAACAACUGUCCAUAUUUUCAUUUCAUUUUGAUUUGUGCUCGUCUGAAAAAAACACGUAAUACAAGAUCUGGGGAAAAAAUAAAUUACCGUUUUGCAGCAGUUCAUAGGUAUUCUGAAUAAAAUAUUAAAAGAAGUCAUUUAAUGAAAAUAUAAAGCAAAUUUUUUUUUUUUUUCUUUUUUUAGAUCAACAACGGAUCUAACAAUUCUAUAUUGCCGUCUUUUUGAAAAGUCUGUUUAUUAAAACCUACCAAAAACACUGCUUGGAAAUGGCAGUAUUAUAUAAUCACAUCCACAGCACCCAUUCAAUCAAAGUUGGCAACGGAUUUAGGAGAGGAGAAGUUCAGAUAAGUGCAGCUGCAGAUGCUCAGUCCUUCUAAAUCCCUUUAUCUGAAUCAGUCCAGAAAUAAAAAAUAAAAAUAUUAAUAAAAAAAAUAUUAGCAGUGGAUUUUUUUUUUUUUUUUAUGACUCUUCCAUGAUGAUUGGCAGCCGUCAGGAGCAGGACUUUGACAGCCCUAAAUUAUUUCCCUUUCUCUCGCUGGUUCCCUUAAUUCAUGCAAAGUCCUUCUACAGAGCUCGAACUUUAGGGACCAACAACCUCUCCUUCUCCCACCCUCCCCCCGGCGUCCGUCCCUCCCCCCCUUUUCUCCUCAGGGUCAGUUUUUCGGCAUGAGGGCGUUUAUUUCCAUAUUUUUUUGUUCUAUAGCUAUACCUAUAUAUAUAGAUAAAUAUAUAUAUAUGUAUUUGCUUCCCUAUGCAGUCUGCUUGUUUUUAGUGCUGUGUGCAUAUUUUCUUUUCCUUUUUUUUUUUUUUUUCUUUUUUUCCUGGAAAAAGUGGCCCCUUUCAUUUUGCAGAAUAUAUAGAUAUAUAGAUAUAUAUGUUUUCAGAGUGGAUGUCUGCCUUGCACCAAAAUCCUACGGUUUGGCCAAGAAAAACAGGGUGCUGGAAUGCAGCAGGCACCCUCUGAUUAACCAGAUUAUUUUGCUUCUGCUUCCCUAUUUUUCUUUUUUGAUUGCUCCCAUUCGGAAAAAAAAAAAAAAAAAAAAGGGAGAGAAAAAAAAUUAAAAAAGGAAAGAAAAGGGGAAAAAAAAAAAGGAAGGAGAGAGAAAGGAGAAAAAAAGUUUCCGUGAUUCAUAGAAGAGAGCCCUUUUGGGGAUAGGGGGGAGAGUGCGGGGGGGGGGGGAGGAGGGGAGAGAAGAGGCGCAGACACCAGUGGUGCUCCUUGCUGCGAGAGGGGGCUAAUUUGGAGAGUGAAAAUACAAAUAAAAAUAAUAAUAAUUAAAAAAUAAAAUUAAAAAAGAAGCUUGAGCCCACCCGCCUAAGCCCUCUCCCCACAGCCACCCCCCCGGGCACAGCUGCAGUUUUGGUGCAUUACGCUUCUCCACCCCGCUUUCCCAACGCGGUCUGAACGCUCUCGCUCGGAUCGACCCUUCUCCACCGCUCCCUAUCGGUAUCGAUCUUAUAUAUAUAUAUAGAUAUAGAUGCACGCGUCUAUCCAUAUAUAUAUAAACACAAGCAGUCUGAACGAGCCUGGAUCGUGUGUGUGUGUGUGUUUGUGUGUGUGUGUGCGUGUGUGUGAGUGUGUCCGGGUGAGCGGGCGGCUGUGCGCGCCGGUGGCGGUGGCUGUGCCCGUCCCGGCCCCCUCGCCCCCCGGCCCGCCCGUCGGUGCCCCUCACUGCACGCUGGCCUGCAGUCCGUGGUGAGGAGGCGGCGUGUCGGAGUUGACGGUGCCGACCUGGGAGUAGACAUCAUCGGGGGUCUGCUGCUGGAUCCCCGGGGGGGUCAUCCGUUUCUCUUUCUGCCUCCGAUUGCAAAACCAAACCCUGACCACCUCCUUCUCCAGCUGCAGGCUGUCCGCUAGGUUCGUAAUCUCCUGGGCGGAGGGCUUGGGGCAUUUCAGAAAGUGGCUCUCCAAGGCCCCCUUGACACUCACCUCGAUGGAGGUCCUCUUCUUCCUCUUCCUGCCCUGGGCGGCGAUCUUGUCGAUGCUGGUGGGGCUGCCCGUGGAGGAGUCGGCUUCCUCCAGCCACUUGUUCAACAAAGGCUUCAGCUUGCACAUGUUCUUGAAGCUGAGCUGCAGGGCCUCGAAGCGGCAGAUGGUGGUCUGCGAGAAGACGUUGCCGUAGAGGGUGCCCAGCGCCAGCCCCACGUCGGCCUGGGUGAAGCCCAGCUUAAUCCGCCGCUGCUUGAACUGCUUGGCGAACUGCUCCAGGUCGUCCGAGGUCGGCGUGUCCUCGUCCGAGUGCGGGUCGUGGCUGUUGACGCCGCCGUGGUGCGGCGGGUGGUGGCCGGGGUGCUGGUGGUGAUGGUGGUGGUGGUGCCCGGGGUGCUCGCCUAGCUCCGGCGUCUCGCCGCGCACCAGCCCCGGGUGCACCAGGCUCUGCCCGCCGGGGGGGGGGCUCAGCAUGCCGUUCACCGUGAAGCCCCCGGGCUGCGAGUAGAGGAGCGACUGCUGCUGCUGCUGCCCGCCGGCCAUGGAGGGCAGGUGGGCGGCCGCCGCCGCGCCCCAGGCCGCCGGGUGCCCCUGGUGCGGGGGGCCCAGGUGGGGCGGCCGGUGGUGCAGCGCCGCGCCCGAGUGCAGGUCGUCGCGCCCGCCGCUGCCCUUGACGUCGGGCGGCGGCGGCGGCUGCUGGGGGCUGCCCGUCAUGCCCACGGGGCUGCCGGACCAGGGCGAGCCCGCUUCGGCGGCGGCGGCGGCAGCGGCGGCGGCGGCGGCGGCGGCGUGGGGCAGG
Molecule: long non-coding RNA, 5262 nt
Filed under: Strigops habroptila (Kakapo)
Lineage: Eukaryota; Metazoa; Chordata; Aves; Psittaciformes; Psittacidae
Description: lncRNA (ENSSHBG00005002073.1)
Source: RNAcentral